Sceloporus undulatus (fence lizard) is the source of this 736-nucleotide long non-coding RNA. RefSeq lists it as uncharacterized. The record is from RefSeq and is a predicted model, not a curated record. Lineage: Eukaryota; Metazoa; Chordata; Lepidosauria; Squamata; Phrynosomatidae. The transcript is spliced from 4 exons.
GGCUCUUGUUAAAGCCUCACUCUUUCAAGUUGCCUUUCUCAGACCCUCCACUGGUUUCCACUGAAAAGACUUUCACCUGUUCUCUGCACACAAGGUAACUGAAAAUGUCAGACACUGAAGAGAUCAUUGAAGAAUAUGAAGAGGAACAGGAAGAAGACUGUAUUGAAGAAGGUAAGCUUCUGUGUUUAUGAGAAAAGCCAUAAUAUCUGGGGUUAUUAAACCAGAACAGCAUACUCUUUAAAAAUUACCUCCCAAGUUGGUGUCUAUACACUGCAUUCAGUGUAACUACAGGUGAGUUCAGCUUCUAAUGGGGCCGUCUGAGCUAUGGAUGUUUGUAAAGAAAGAGAAGAUCUUCUUUUUAUUGGCAUCCAGCAUGUGGAACUCCUGAUCACAUGAAUUUAGGCUUCUUUUACUUAUGUGCCUCUGACUCUCCUGCAACAUCAAAUGCUUAAUUACUGCUUUUAUUUGACUUUUGGACAGUUAUUUCAGUAGUAGUUUUAUGAUAGAUGUUAACAGUUAUGAGGUGAGUGUUUGGAAGGGAAAUGUGUGUGAUUUAUUUUAGUAUAAAUAAAUAAACAAAACAAAAAAUACAUGUGUAAAAUAUAAAUUUAUUCAUCCAAAUAGCUUUAAAAGCAGUUAAAAUGUAUUUCUUUAGGUUGAAAUGUUAAUAUUUCAAAAGUCUAAGAAAACUGAAGUUCAAAUAACUGGAUAUUUGCUUGUUAUUUUCUAUGAAUAC